UGAGCCAAGUUUAGGGUUUUCUCAAAACCCAAGCAGUAUUGAACUGAAGAGUUUGAUCAUGGCUCAGAUUGAACGCUGGCGGCAGGCCUAAC
Molecule: ribosomal RNA, 92 nt
Filed under: Pseudomonas aeruginosa
Lineage: Bacteria; Pseudomonadati; Pseudomonadota; Gammaproteobacteria; Pseudomonadales; Pseudomonadaceae
Description: partial 16S ribosomal RNA
Source: RNAcentral